AUGAAUGAUUAUCUAAUGGCUCCUUUUUCUGCUGAUGAUGUCUGGAAAGCUGUUUUUAGCAUAGGGGACUUAAAAGCCCCAGGGCCAGAUGGUUUACAUGCUUUAUUUAAAAAAAAUUUGGCAUAUCUGGGAGAAUAAAUUACUGAAGCUGUCUUGAAUGCUAUCAACUCGAAGCACAUUCCAGAGGAAUGGAAUGACACUUCUAUAGUGUUGAUUCCUAAGGUGGACUCUCCCGAGUUGAUUACUCAGUACCGUCCUAUAAGCCUAUGCAAUGUUUUAUACAAGAUCAUAUAAAAAAUGCUCGAUGUUCGUCUAAAAAGUAUUCUACCAGAAAUUAUUUCCCCCACUCAGAGUGCUUUCGUUCCUGGUAGAAUGAUUACUGAUAAUAUUCUUGUGGCUUAUGAGUGCAUCCACAAAAUUAAGAAUAGAAAGAACAGUUAGUCGGGCGUAUGUGAUGUCAAACUGGAUAUGCAUAAAGCAUAUGACAGAGUGGAGUGGGUUUUUCUGAGAAAUAUGAUGCAUAGGUUGGGUUUUGAUAAUCAGUGGAUUGAGCUUAUUAUGGAGUGUGUGAGCUCAGUAAGAUACAGGGUGCGGUAUAAUUCCCAAGAAACAGAUAUGUUCACACCAUCCAGAGGGAUUUGGCAGGGUGAUCCAUUAUCACCUUACCUUUUCUUGAUUUGUGCAGAAGGUCUUUCUAGCAUAUUGCAGUAUGAAGAAGAAGUUGGUGGCAUAGAUGGGAUAAGAGUGUGCAGGAAUGCACCGUCAAUUUCACACCUUUUAUUUGCUGACGAUUCUCUGAUUCUCAUGAGAGCAGAUAUGAUUAAUGCAACUUCCUUACAGGAGUUGUUGGAAACCUAUUGUGACAACUCGGGACAGUUGGUAAGUGUGAGAAAAUCUAGUAUUUUCAGCCCAAAUACUAAUAUGCAAGCUAGAGAUGAGAUCUGUCAACAGUUGAAUAUUACCAACCAAGCUCUGUCAGACAAGUAUCUUGGGCUGCCUGCUAUGGUGGGAGCUAAUAGGAGUGAUUGCUUUAAACAUUUUCGUGAAAAAAUUAAGAAGCUUUUGAAAGGUUGGAUGGAGAAGCAACUGUCCACACGUGGUAAGGAAGUCUUAUUAAAGGUUGUUGCUCAAUCUAUACCUGUGUUUGCUAUGUCUGUUUUUUGCUUGCCAAAGGGGGUCUGUAAGGAUAUUACAGAUAUCAUUGCUCAAUUUUAGUGGGGAGAUGAAGAGGAAAAUAAAAUAUUGCAUUGGUUCUCUUGGUGA
Molecule: ribosomal RNA, 1263 nt
Filed under: Triticum aestivum (bread wheat)
Lineage: Eukaryota; Viridiplantae; Streptophyta; Magnoliopsida; Poales; Poaceae
Description: partial small subunit ribosomal RNA
Source: RNAcentral